RNAcentral lists this ribosomal RNA (484 nucleotides) under uncultured bacterium. RNAcentral's name for it is "partial 16S ribosomal RNA". It matches the Rfam family "Bacterial small subunit ribosomal RNA", at positions 30 to 507 of the family's 1533-position model. The record is from RNAcentral.
AUUGAACGCUGGCGGAAUGCUUUACACAUGCAAGUCGAACGGCAGCACGGGGGCAGCCCUGGUGGCGAGUGGCGAACGGGUGAGUAAUACAUCGGAACGUGCCCGGUCGUGGGGGAUAACGUAGCGAAAGUUACGCUAAUACCGCAUACGAUCUGAGGAUGAAAGCGGGGGACCUUCGGGCCUCGCGCGAUCGGAGCGGCCGAUGUCAGAUUAGGUAGUUGGUGGGGUAAAGGCCUACCAAGCCGACGAUCUGUAGCUGGUCUGAGAGGACGACCAGCCACACUGGGACUGAGACACGGCCCAGACUCCUACGGGAGGCAGCAGUGGGGAAUUUUGGACAAUGGGCGCAAGCCUGAUCCAGCCAUUCCGCGUGCAGGACGAAGGCCUUCGGGUUGUAAACUGCUUUUGUACGGAACGAAAAGGCUCUGGCUAAUACCUGGGGCUCAUGACGGUACCGUGAGAAUAAGCACCGGCUAACUACGUG